RNAcentral lists this ribosomal RNA (301 nucleotides) under uncultured bacterium. Its description in RNAcentral is "partial 16S ribosomal RNA". It matches the Rfam family "Bacterial small subunit ribosomal RNA", at positions 509 to 807 of the family's 1533-position model. The record is from RNAcentral.
CAGCAGCCGCGGUAAUACAGAGGGUGCGAGCGUUAAUCGGAUUUACUGGGCGUAAAGCGUGCGUAGGCGGCUUCUUAAGUCGGAUGUGAAAUCCCUGAGCUUAACUUAGGAAUUGCAUUCGAUACUGGGAAGCUAGAGUAUGGGAGAGGAUGGUAGAAUUCCAGGUGUAGCGGUGAAAUGCGUAGAGAUCUGGAGGAAUACCGAUGGCGAAGGCAGCCAUCUGGCCUAAUACUGACGCUGAGGUACGAAAGCAUGGGGAGCAAACAGGAUUAGAUACCCCAGUAGUCCAUGUCUCUUAUAC